Papio anubis (olive baboon) is the source of this 144-nucleotide unclassified non-coding RNA. It matches the Rfam family "Metazoan signal recognition particle RNA". Rfam says of the family: The signal recognition particle (SRP) is a universally conserved ribonucleoprotein. NCBI's taxonomy places the organism in Eukaryota, Metazoa, Chordata, Mammalia, Primates, Cercopithecidae. The record is from Ensembl.
GCCAGGUGUGGCAGUGCACACCUGUAGUUCUACUUGGGAGGCUGAGACAGGAGAAUCAUUUGAGCCCAGGAGUUCAAGGCUGCAGUGAGCUAUGAUCACAGCACUGCACUCCAGCCUGGGCAACAGACUGAGACCCCGUCUCUU